GGAGAAAUGGCAGAGCGGUCGAAUGCGGCGGUCUUGAAAACCGUUGAUCUGUAACCACGGAUCCGGGGGUUCGAAUCCCUCUUUCUCCG
Molecule: transfer RNA, 89 nt
Filed under: Bacteroidales bacterium
Lineage: Bacteria; Pseudomonadati; Bacteroidota; Bacteroidia; Bacteroidales
Description: tRNA-Ser
Rfam family: tRNA
About the family: Transfer RNA (tRNA) molecules are approximately 80 nucleotides in length. Their secondary structure includes four short double-helical elements and three loops (D, anti-codon, and T loops).
Source: RNAcentral